AAACUUAAAUGAAUUGACGGGGCCCGCACAAGCGGAGGAACAUGUGGUUAAUUCGAUGAUACGCGAGGAACCUUACCUGGGCUUAAAUGUAGAGUGCAUUUUCUAGAGAUAGGAAUUCCCUUCGGGGCUUUCUACAAGGUGCUGCAUGGUUGUCGUCAGCUCGUGCCGUGAGGUGUCGGGUUAAGUCCCAUAACGAGCGCAACCCUUAUCGUUAGUUGCCAUCUGGUAAAGCAGGGGACUCUAGCGAAACUGCCACCGUAAGGUGAGAGGAAGUGGGGAUGACGUCAAAUCAGCACGGCCCUUAUGUCCAGGGCUACACACGUGUUACAAUGGUCGGUACAGAGGGCAGCUACCUGGUGACAGGAUGCUAAUCUCGAAAACCGGCCUCAGUUCGGAUCGAAGUCUGCAACUCGACUUCGUGAAGCUGGAUUCGCUAGUAAUCGCGCAUCAGCCAUGGCGCGGUGAAUACGUUCCCGGGCCUU
This 482-nucleotide ribosomal RNA is filed under the name uncultured Sphingobacteriales bacterium. RNAcentral describes it as "bacterial SSU rRNA". It matches the Rfam family "Bacterial small subunit ribosomal RNA", at positions 897 to 1382 of the family's 1533-position model. The record is from RNAcentral. Lineage: Bacteria; Pseudomonadati; Bacteroidota; Sphingobacteriia; Sphingobacteriales.